Molecule: ribosomal RNA, 1287 nt
Filed under: metagenome
Description: bacterial LSU rRNA
Rfam family: Bacterial large subunit ribosomal RNA
Source: RNAcentral
CCAGCUUCCAGGAAAAGCCUCUAAGCUUCAGUUACAGAUUGACCGUACCGCAAACCGACACAGGUGGGCAGGAUGAAAAUUCUAAGGCGCUUGAGAGAACUCAGGAGAAGGAACUCGGCAAAUUGAUACCGUAACUUCGGGAGAAGGUAUGCCCCGGUAGCGUGAAGCCCCUGCGGGUGGAGCGUGAUGGGGUCGCAGAGAAUCGGUGGCUGCAACUGUUUAAUAAAAACACAGCACUCUGCAAAGGCGAAAGCCGACGUAUAGGGUGCGACGCCUGCCCGGUGCCGGAAGGUUAAGUGAUGGGGUGCAAGCUCUUGAUCGAAGCCCCGGUAAACGGCGGCCGUAACAAUAACGGUCCUAAGGUAGCGAGAUUCCUUGUCGGGUAAGUUCCGACCUGCACGAAUGGCGUAAUGAUGGCCACACUGUCUCCUCCUGAGACUCAGCGAAGUUGAAAUGUUUGUGAAGAUGCAAUCUCCCCGCGGCUAGACGGAAAGACCCCAUGAACCUUUACUGUAGCUUUGCAUUGGACUUUGACGGGACUUGUGUAGGAUAGGUGGGAGGCUGUGAGGCGUGGUCGCCAGAUCGCGCGGAGCCGACGUUGAAAUACCACCCUGGUGUCGUUGAGGUUCUAACCUUGGUCCGUGAAUCCGGAUCGGGGACCGUGCAUGGCAGGCAGUUUGACUGGGGCGGUCUCCUCCCAAAGUGUAACGGAGGAGUACGAAGGUCUUCUAAGCACGGUCGGACAUCGUGCUCAUAGUGCAAUGGCAAAAGAAGGCUUGACUGCGAGUCCCACAAGACGAGCAGGUGCGAAAGCAGGUCAUAGUGAUCCGGUGGUUCUGUAUGGAAGGGCCAUCGCUCAACGGAUAAAAGGUACUCUGGGGAUAACAGGCUGAUUCCGCCCAAGAGUUCAUAUCGACGGCGGAGUUUGGCACCUCGAUGUCGGCUCAUCACAUCCUGGGGCUGUAGCCGGUCCCAAGGGUAUGGCUGUUCGCCAUUUAAAGUGGUACGUGAGCUGGGUUUAAAACGUCGUGAGACAGUUUGGUCCCUAUCUGCCGUGGGCGCUGGAAAUUUGAGGGGGCCUGCUCCUAGUACGAGAGGACCGGAGUGGACGAACCUCUGGUGUACCGGUUGUCACGCCAGUGGCAUCGCCGGGUAGCUAAGUUCGGAAGAGAUAAACGCUGAAAGCAUCUAAGCGUGAAACUCGCCUCAAGAUGAGAUUUCCCGGGAGUUCAACUCCCCUGAAGGGUCGUCCAAGACCAGGACGUUGAUAGGUCAGGUGUGGAAGCG